UUCUGUGCUUCUUCGACAGUAUAUCCUACAUAAAUUUCACAUAGUUUGGCAUUUGCUCCAAAGCUUCUACUAGCGAUAUAUUAAUAUGUAGUUGCUUCAAGACCUCCAAAAACCUUUUGAACUAAACAUCUUGUUUAGAAUUAUGUAAUUUCUGAGGAAAAGAUAGAGGUGGUCGUCCUUCAAGUUUCUGAUAUUGUUUUCCUAUAGCGUUUUUAUUGGCAGCCUGAUCUAGUUCUGCCACAGCAUUCUUCUGCUUACCCUUUUCAAGUGUAAUAUGUUUUUCAGAUGGCUUUGGGAUCUUUACAUGGUUGUUAUUUGAGUUAUCCUCUCCUACUGUGGCAUCUUGAACAACAUCAUUUAACUGAGCUCCACUUCUGAGAGUGAUCACUUUGCACUGUUCUUUCCCUUAUGUUAUCCAAUUCUAGGUAUCGUUGGCAAUGCUCCUUGUGGCCUCAAAUUUAAAGCAUUUGUUAUUUGCCCACUUGAUUCUCAAGAGCUCGUAGGGACAUAGCUUGACUAAGGUAUCUUUCUUGGCCAUAAAUUAUUUCAACAAGUCUUCAAUAGAUGGUGAUGAUAAUGACUGGCCUUGUUGUACAUUUUGCCUCGGCAUAGGAUGAUUAUAACUAGGCGAUGCACUAUCGGCAUUCUUCUUGUAGCAUUGUUAAAAUUCCCCUCACCUUGAUUAUUCCAACUAAAGUUUAGAUGUUGUCCCCACCCUAGAUUAUAGGUGUUGGAAUAGGGAUUAUUAUUCCAAUUGAAAUUACCUAUGUAGCACACGAAUGUUGGGUUUGAUAGGCAUUCAUCCAACACGUGGUCAUCACCACAAUAAACACAUGCUAGCCUAAUAGCUUUCACCUCCUGAACUGUAGUUGGUAUCUCCAUCAUCUUGAUCAUAUUAGUUAAAGAUGAAACAUGGGUAGUCAAUGAAGUGAUUGUAUUAAGUUCCAUGGUACCAGCAGCUUUCUUACCCGUUAAAACUCUCGUGGUAGUAUAUUGAUAAUUAUUGCUGGCAAUCUUUUCCAAAAUCUCAUAUGCUUCAUUAUAAGAUUUAUCCAACAAAAUACCAUUGGUGAAGGCAUCAACUACCAUCCUCGUAUGCGCAUUCAUUCCAUUAUAAAAUAACUUCAUCUGUGUCUAGUGCUGAAAUCCAUGCAUCGGGCACUUCUGAAUGAAGUCUUUAAAUCGCUCCCAAGCUUCAUAUAGCGUUUCAUCAUCCAAUUGCUGAAAAGAUGUGAUGUCAUUUCUAAGCUUGGCAUUCAUAUUUGGAGGAUUAUAUCGUAGAAAAAAACUCUAGCAAAGAUCAUUUCAUGAUGCUACUAUUCAGUACGGCAGAGCAUUCAGCCAUGCUCUCACACGAUCUCUUAAAGAAUAUGGAAACAGUUUAAGUCGCAAAGUGUCUUUAGGCACACCCUACUGUCUCUAUGAGUCAUAAACCUCUAAAAAAAGUCUUAAAUGAAGUAUUGGAUCUUUAUUAGGUAAUCCACUUAACUGUCCUACUAUUUACAACAUCUAAAAUAUUACCAGUUUCAGCUCAAACUACUGAACUUGUAUUUGUGGUCUGACUAUCUCUGGAUUCAAAUCAUCCAAAAUUAGCACAACAUGCUCUCAGAUUGGUCUAUCUCGGUCAUCUAUCAUUCUACGAACAUGAAGAUUAGCAUCCUGACCAUUCAAAUUAUCAUUGAGACUAGGAUCAUUUUCGUUUCUAGCAUCAUAGUUCUUUUCACCUUCUUCAUAAAGUUAUUUCGAUCUUUAGGUUAAAAGGAUACUCUUUGUUAGUAGGAAUAUCUUUUCUCAUGUACUGAUGGAAAACUUAUAGAAAAAUAUAACUAAGUUAAAUAAAACUAAUGGAGCUAAGUGAAAUAACAAAACCAAUUUUUAAGAAAUUGUCAAUCCCUGGCAACGGUGCCAAAAAAUUGUCGCGCGUGAAUAUGAUAUGUGAAUCGUGCAAGUAUACACGUUGGAUCAAGUAAUAAAGUGAUAAGUGAGUAUCACUCCCAUGAGGUUCCAAUUGAGGCACAAAAGUGGUCAAGUUAUUAUAAUAGAGUGUUAUUAAUGUUAUGGCAAAAACAACGAUAAGUAUAAAGGAGUAGUGAUGUAUGUAAUAUGUGGAAUUUAAUGAAUACUUGGAAAUGUUAUGGCAAAACAAAAGUAGAAAUGUAAUGGAAAUUAUGAGAGUUACUACGGGAAUAUUAUGUAAAUGAACAAAUAAAUAACUAAUAAUGAUGUGACAAAGAUACUAUGGCAAAGAACAAAGGAUAUACGAUGUUGAUUUGGAAUGUUGGAAUUAUUAAGAAUCUACCCUUACUGUCAGAGAUGCCUCGAAAAAAUCAUAAUUAAUUUACUACUUAGAAGAGUUCUAAAGUGGUCUGCUUCUUUCGAGAGCAAAAGUCUCAAGUUACCUUACCCAUGACAAUAGGCCUUUAAUACGGUACCCUGCACUAUUUCUUUUUGUAUGAAUGCUGCUCUAUGUCUAAAGUCUACUACAAGCAUCUAUUGAAUACUUGCUCAUAUCAUUCAAUUUCGGUCCAACUAAUCCAACCUUUUCAAAAUUAAAUUAGUUUAUGUGCAUGCUACACAAUCUCUAUGUCUAGGAAUUGCACGCUUAUAAUUUAGAAAAAAAUAAUUAAAUGAAACAGUAAAUUAAUUCAACUCUAUGCUUCAACCAUUAAAGAAAAUAAAGGUUUCAUCAUGUAAUCUCAACCCUAUGAGAUUUAGCUCAUGGGUUGGCACAUAAAAUUUAAAACCAAAAUAACAUCCAACACCAUUUUCAUCAUUCCAUUCAAGGAAGAACAAAGUAAGAAAUGUAGAAGACUUUGAGAAUACAACUUUUUCAUGUCAUGUUCACACUCCAACAACAUAGUGUUCCAGCGAUGGCUAAGAGGGACUACUUUUGUCUUCCUCUUUUUGUCUCUACUCAGCCGCUACCCUCUAUUUUUGCCUAAGGAGCUGUUGCUUUUUGUUCAUCAUUUAGGGUUUCCUCCUUUGGCUUUUUAUAGCUUUUUCCCUUGGGUAAAUCCAACAAAUCAUGUUUAUCUUCUCCUCUUUUUAAAAUUUUUUUUCUAGAAUAAAAAUCAAAAUCCCAGGAUUAUCUUCUCCUCUUUUAGGUACAUUUUUUUGGUAAAAAUGCAGUUGGGCUAAAAUUGGUAUGCAUUGAGUGUUGACUCGAUCAUCCUAGAAUUGCCACAGCAUUCGUGCUAACCAAAUGUCCAACCUUUUGCCCUGGUAAACCUUUACUCCUUUAUUUCUCAUUCCUCAACCUGCACCUGCCAAAGCACCAAACACAACCCUACCAUAAGCAAUUAAAAGUAUCUAUUAUUGAUUUUUUUUGGUAAGUGGUAAUAGGACUUGUAACUAAUAUAGUUUUGGAAAAAAAUAUGAUUUUUUUUAGAAUCUUUAAGGCAUAUUUUCGAUUGGUAAAUGAGGAGUUUUGAAUCAUAAAAUUAUGAUUUUAUGUUCUACCCCAUGAGACCUUUACAACGAGAUAUCAUAUGCUCAAAAUGGUUGAGUGAUGAAUGAGAAAUUGAUGCUCAAAGUAAGCUACUUGGAAAUUAUGUUGAGAAAAAUGAAAAAGCAUUAAUCCCACAUUUAUUAGGAAUCAAGUGUGGAACUUGAUAUAUAUGUAAACCAACUUGGUGGUUAUUAAAUGAGUAAACUAAUGCUCUCCCUCGUGUGCAGGGGGUGCAAAUCUAAAUCCACUGAGGUUGGGGGCACACCCGCACGACAUGGGCGUUUCCAAGAUUUUACUCAGUUUGAUUUAAAGGCUUCUUUAAUGCAUAUUUGUAUCUUUACUCAUGGAAAUUUCUAAAAUUCCUCCACAUUGAAUGCUUAUAAAAUCCUAAAUUCUUUAAAGACACACAACGAAUUUAUUUCACUCUCGAAAAUUCUAUUUCUUUUCUCUCCAAAAUUUUCAAACGUCCGGUGAUAGAAGAAGGCAAGGUUUGUUCGUUGAUCACUGCAGAUGUACUACUGCCGCAAUCAUUUUGUUAUUGUAUCCUGGGAGACAGAUGAUCAACAUUUCUCUAAGUACCAUAGGAGCAGCUGAAUCUGUCUUAAGGAAACUGUGAAAACAGACCUCAGCAUCUAGUAAAACUCGAUUUCCUUAUUCAAUUUCUGGUUUUUCAAAAUCUUGUUUAUAUAAUUAUUUUUUAGAUUUGAUGUUUUAAAUAAAUAUAAAUAUUUAUUUAUUUAUUUUGUUUAGAUCUGGUGUUUUUACACAAAUAUAGAUAUUUGGUUAUAUUAUUUGUUCAAGAUAUUAUAUUUAAUAUAAAUAUUUACAUUUAUAUUUGUUCGCUAACGUGUUUUGUCCAACAAUCUUAAGACAGAUUUUUAUUAUUUUAAAAUUCUCUAAUCCGAGUAGAACGAGACACGAAGGCAAAAAAAACAUAUUCUGUCUAAGAAAAAAUUAAAUUGAAUAAAAUCUAUUUCGGGAUUUAUUAUUGUCGUUCAAUAGACUUUAUUCCUUUUUUAUUUUGUUUCCAAACAAGAAUUAAUUGAAUAAUUCUAUUUCAGAAUUUAUUCUCACAGCUCAACAGAUUUUAUUCUAUUUUUAUUUUGUUUCCAAACAAUAAUUAAAUAAAUAAUUCUAUUUCUAGAUUUAUUCCCGCCAUUUAACAGAUUUUAUUUGAUUUUGAUUUUGUUUCCAAACAAGAUUUAAUUAAAUAAUUUUGUUUCAGGAUUUAAUCCUGUCGGCCAACAAAAUUGAUUUUAAUUUUAUUUCAGAAUUUUAACUCUUCCAUUUAACAAAAUCAAAGGGUAAUAUAAAUUUUAAAUUAAAUUUUUUAUUUAUUGUGGCUUUAAUUGUGGCUUUAAAUUGUGAAAGCUUAAAUUGUAGCUUCAAACUUGUGACAUCAAAGAAAAAAAAAAUUUAUCAACGGUGAAUUAAAAAAGACAAUAUGAGAGUGCAUGUCUAGGAUUGGUUCUUUGAAAGACUUGGUAUUUAAGUGUGCCAAGUGCACCACCUCUCUUUCAGGGUUACCUACCUGGCACAUUUUUUUUGUCUUUCGAUUAGACCGUGUAAACUUUUGUUUCAAGUUUUAUUAAAUUCCUAUCGUCUAGCAAAAGUUGAUAAUUUUUUUCUAAUUUUGGUUUUGUUUCUGAAAUCUUAACAGAAAAUGGAAACUCCCACCAAUGCUAUGGAAGAUAUGGACUUAUGUGCUGUGAUUUUUGAAGUCAACAUGGUUGACUCACAUCCAAGAGAAUAGUGGCUUGAUACUGGUGCCACACGUCAUAUUUGUUUGACAAAGACUUCUUUUCUGAGUUGGAGCCUUGUGAAGAUAGGGAGAAGCUCUAUAUGGGCAAUGCUAUGACUUCCAAGAUCAAGGAGAAUGGUACUAUAGUCUUGAAGAUGACUUCUGGCAGAGAACUCAAGCUUCAAAAUGUGUUGUAUGUGUUUGACAUACGCAAGAACCUUAUUUCUGAGACACUCCUUAGUGUACACGGUUUUAAGACGGUGUUUGAAUCCCAGAAGCUAGUUUUGUCUAAAGGGUGAAUGUUUGUGGGAAGGGGAUAUGUAUUAAAUGGCAUAUGGAAACUUAAAGCAAUCUCUGUAAAAUUAAAAACUAUGAAUAAGAGUGUUGUUUCUUCUUCUGUUUAUAUGCUUGAGUCAUUUAAUUUAUGGCAUGGUAGGCUCAGACAUGUUGGUUAUGAUACUUUACAUAGAUUAAUUAAUUUAGAGCUCAUUCCUUCAUUUCACAUUAGUUAUAAACAUAAAUGUGAAACUUUUGUUGACGAAAAAUUAACAAUGCCUUCAUUUGAAACUAUUGAAAGAAAUAUAGAACCACUCGAUCUAAUACAUAGCAAUGUUUGUGACUUAAUGUUUGUUCAAACCAGAGGAAGGAAUAAAUAUUUUAUUACCUUCAUUAAUGAUAGCACAAAAUAUUGUUAUGUAUAUUUGCUUCAGAGCAAAAACGAAGUUUAGAGAAAUUUAUUCUCUAUAAACAGGAAGUUGAAACCUAACUUAAUAAAAAGACUAUGAUGGUAAGAAGUGAUUAUGGUGGUGAAUAUGUUGAACCAUUUAGUGAAUACUGUGCACAACAUGGUAUUAUUCAUGAAGUGACACCACCAUACACUUCUCAAUCAAAUGGAAUAGCCGAGCGAAAAAAUCAGACUCUAAAGGAAAUGAUGAACGCAUUACUAGAAAGCUCUGGGUUAUCACAGAACAUGUGGGGGGAAGCUAUUCUAUGAGCUAAUUACCUUUUAAAUAAGGUUCCCUACAAGAAAAGGGACAAGACACCAUAUGAGUUAUGGAAAGGUAGAAAACCUUCCUACAACUACUUGAAACUGUGGGGGUGUCUUGCAAAGGUAAUGGCUCCAUUACCAAAGUAAAUGAAAAUAGGUCUUAAAACGGUGGAUGUAUUUUCAUAGGCUAUGCAGAUCAUAGAAAUACAUAUAGGUUUCUUGUGUAUGAAUCAAAGAAUCCUGACAUUCACAAGAAUAUUAUAUUGGAAUCAAUGAAUUCUUCAUUCUUUGAAAAUAUCUUCCCUUGUAAAGCUAGGGAAGUUGAUUCAAGUUCAACAAAAUGAACUUCAGAGACUAUAGAUGAAAAUAGUCAAGACGAGGUUAAAACUGUGAUAGAGCCAAGAGUAAACAAGUAACAGUGAAAAAAUCUUUUGGGUCAGAUUUUCUAACCUUUAUGCUAGAUGCUAAACCUCAAACAUGUGAUGAUGCUAUACGGUCAUCCGAAAGCACUUCAUGGAAAGAUGCUAUUAAAAGUGAAAUUGACUCCAUCAUGUAAAAUCAUACAUGAGAAUUAGUGGAUCUUGCUCUAGGAAUUAAACCAUUAAAUUCUAAGUGGAUUUUUAAAUGAAAAAUGAAAGCAGAUGAAACAAUAAACAAGUACAAGGUCAGAUUGGUUAUAAAAGUUUAUAGAUAAAAAGGAAGGCCUACUUUGAUACUUUUUCUCCAAUAUCCAGGAUAACUUCUAUAAGGAUGAUACUUGCAAUUGUCGCCUUAUAGAAUCUAGAAGUACAUCAAAUGGAUGUUAAAACAACUUUCCUAAAUUGAGAUCUUGAUGAAGAAAUUUACAUAGAACAACCUGAGGGUCAUGUAAUUCUAAGACAAGAAAGGAAAGUUUGUAAAUUGGUGAAGUCUUUAUAUGGACUUAAGCAAGCACUAAAACAAUGGCAUUAAAACUGUUCGACAAUGCCAUGAUGACAAAUGGCUUUAAGAUUAAUGAAUGUGAAAAUUGUGUGUAUGUCAAAACUACCGAUAUUGGAUAUAUAAUCCUAUGCUUAUAUAUUGAUGACAUAGUCAUUGUUGGAAGUAACAAUGAAAUGGUAAAACGUGCCACAGACAUGUUAAAUUCAACGUUUGACAUGAAAGAUAUGGGACUAGAAAAUGUGGUUUUGGCAUCCAAAUUAAGAGGUCAUAUGAAGGUCUGAUAUUGACUUAGCCACACUAUGUGGACAAGAUUCUUGGGAAAUUUAGCAAGGAUGAUUUCGGUAUAGCCAAAACUCCAAUAGCUACAAGCCAACAUUUGUCCAAAAAUAAAGGUGAAAGUGUUGACCAAGUGGAAUAUGCAGGGGUCAUAGGUAGUCUAAUGUACCUUAUGAGUUGUACUAGACUAGAUAUUGCUAUCACUGUGAGCAGUUUAAGCAUAUUCACAAGCAAUCCAGGGGAAAACCAAUGGAAAGUAAUUGUGAGGAUACUGAGAUAUCUUAGAUAUACUCAGGACUAUGGAUUGCAUUAUUCCAAAGAUCCUAUUGUUUUAGAAGGAUUCUCCUGUGCCAGUUGGAUAUCUGAUAUUCAAGAUACCAAAGGCACAAGUGGAUAUGUUUUUACAUUAGGAGGAGGAGCUAUGUCAUGGAAAUCCCCAAGACAAACGAUUAUAACCAGAUCCAUAAUAGAAUCUGAGUUUGUAGCUCUAGACAAAUCUGGAGAAGAGGCUAAAUGGCUUCGAAACUUCUUGGAAGAUAUUCCUGACUGGCCAAAGCCUGUGCCCACAAUAUGUAUAUAUUGUGACAAUCAAGCAACAAUUGGUAGAGCACAAAAUGUAAUAUAUAAUGGUAAGUCAAGACAUAUGCUUCGUUGACACAAUACUUGUAGACAACUGAUCUCAAAUGGGGUUAUCUCUAUUGAUUUUGUAAAAUCAAAAGAUAACAUUGUGGAUCCGCUAACUAAAUGCUUAAAUCGAGAUCAGGUUAAUAAAACAUCGAAAGGAAUAGGACUAAAGGCCAUGGAAAUUAAAGGCGCUAUGUAAAGGAAAACCCAACCUAGUUGAUUGGAGAUCCCAAGAUCUAGGUUCAAAGGGACAACCUAAUUGCAUAGGCCUUGUGAGGUCACUAUAGGGGUUCUUAUUCCAAGUCCAUUCCUAUGAAAUAAACAGUGAUUUAAAGUGAGAUAGGUUAAGUAAAGCUUUUAAUGACCAUUGUGUGUUUCGGAGAGCCAAGCAACAUAAGUCACCUAUGUUAGAGUGAAGUGGGGCUGCUUCGAGGAGACUAUUGUGCAUAGGUCUCUCAAAAUCUUGCAGAACCAGGAAAUGUUCAUGGUCAUAUAAACAUACCUAUGAGAACGAAGACCUUGCUAGGGAGGUAGUUGUGUAAGGAAUAUCAUUGUUUACACAAACGAUAGAACAGUUCAAGGAUAUUACGUCAACUAGUCAGCUAGUAAAAUAAAUAUACUUUCACAAGGGAAGGUUCAAGGGUUGAUGUUUGCCUAUCAUAUACAACUAUCAAUCGUAGAAUCUAUCACCACAUCCAGCCAAUGUUUUUCAUUAAACCUAUCAAUUUCAUUCAUGUGGGGUAUUGUUGGAAAAAUAUGAUUUUUUGGAAUCUUUGAGGCAUAUUUUCGAUUGGUAAAUGAGGAGUUUUGAAUCAUAAAAUUAUGAUUUUAUGCUCUACCUCAUGAGACCUUUACAACGGGAUAUCAUAUGCUCAAAAUGGUUGAGUGAUGAAUGAGAAAUUGAUGCUCAAAGUAAGCUACUUGGAAAUUAUGUUGAGAAAAAAUGAAAAAGCAUUAGUCCCACAUUGAUUAGGAAUCAAGUGUCACUACACCAAAAUAGGCUUUUAGCAGCGUUUUUAGUGGCAUUUGGAUAAAAAACGCUGCUAAAAAUCAAGCAAUAGCAGCGUUUUUUUUAAAACGCUGCUAAAGAUCCAAUAUUAGCGGCGUUUUUCGGAAAACGCCGUAAAAAAUGAGCAUUAGCAGCGUUUUUCAAAAAAGCGCCGCAAAAAAUCUAAGCACAACGAUGUCGUUUUUUGAGUUUUUGGGCCUUUAGCGGCGUUUUUUAAAAAACGCCGCUAAUGUUCGAGGCUUUAGCGGCGUUUUUGAAGAAGCGUCGCUAAUCCUCGGGGCUUUAGCGACGUUUUUGAAGAAGCGCCGCUAAUGCUCUGGUCUUUAGCGGCAUUUUUUAAGAAGCGCCGCUAAUGCUCUAGGCUUGCUCUGGGCUUUAGCGGCGUUUUUGGAAAAACGCCGCUAAUAAUCGAGGCUUUAGCGGCUUUUUUGAAGAAGCGCCGCUAAUGCUCUAUUUUUAGCGGCUUUUUUUAAGAAGCGCCGCUAAUGCUUUGGUCUUUAGCGGCGUUUUUGAAAAAAGCACCGCAAAAAAUAUUUUAUCUCUCUAUUUAUUAUUUAAUUGGUUUGUUUAUAUUAAUUAAAAUUCAAAUUAAUUUUAAUUGAAUAUUCAAAAUCUUCACAAAAAACUAAUGACACGUAGAAAUCAUUUGAAAUAAAAACAUAGAAAAAUAUUUGUUAAAAAUGGAAAAAUUAAAAUACUAUUAUUUAAAAUAAUUUUAAGUUUUUUAGAAACUGUGCAAAGUGUAUGCAAGCAGAUAAUGUUUAUAAUGCUAUUUUGGUCGUUCAAAGAGCUUUUACAGCACCUGCAAAAGCAGCGAUAAAUGAAAUUAAUUCAUACUUCCACAUGGAAGUUUUUGAGGUGAAUAUAAGUUUAAAUUGGUAUAAAUAAAUAUAAUUUUCCUUUUAGCUCUCUGGGUUUUUGUUCUUUUGAUUGUUUUAUAACAGUUUUUUCUUAAAGGAUAAGUGAUAGACGAAAUCCGGGAGUUGAAUCCUAGAGUUGAAAUCCAAGAGUUGAAUCCCUUAUAAAGGUACAUUUUUUUUCCUCAUUGAUAUAUGUUUAUUAGCAUUUGAGUCAUUUAGGUUACUUUUUAUUGUAUUCAUGCAUGCUUGCUUACUUCACAUUUUCCUUCUUCCAGUUUAAAUUUAAUUCUUUCAGUGCUGGAGAUGAUGAUUAUGAAGGGUACAAUUACCGCUUGUGUGGGCGACUUUCUGCUGUUCGAAUUGUUUUUCUUUGUAGGUUUGUUCAGGAGGUAUGAUGGGAUACAGUUUAAACUGUACAGUUUUAGCAUUACCAUCAUCCUAUUAUGGUUAAACCUUAACAUUUAACAAUUGAAGUUCACUUUCACAAAUAGUCAAAAUUUAGGUCUAUAAAUUUCAAGAAACUUGGUUUGGCAGAUAACAGUUUACUUCAUGGAGCUUGCUACCCCACAUACAGAAGAAAUAAUAAAACUUGUUGAUAAAGUUGGCGAUUUUGAGUGGUUAAUUCAGAAAUCUGAAAUUGAUGGGGCUGCUGCUUUGAAGCUGGAUCUUACAUUUGACACUCCAAUAAUUAUAGUUCCUAGGAAUUCAACGAGCACUGAGUAUGUUUAACUUUCCAUUAUCUUAGACUUGCAAAGUAGAACAGAACACUAACUGUUUUAGUCCAUUUUAAUAGAAACUGAACUCUCCAGGAUUUUUGUAUUAUUAUUUAGUGUGAACAUUACUAAUGUAUUUCCAUAUGACAAGUUUUGUUCAACUUGAUGUGGGUCUUCUAAAGGUCAGAAAUAAAAUAAGUUGAGCAUAUUAGGUUUGUCACUUAAAGGGCUCUGCAGAUUGUUUUAGAUUGGCUUGAUUUUUUAUUCACUCAAUAUUUCUCUUUAUCUCUCCAUGUGAUCCUAUUCUAGUAUCAUUUAGUACUUGAGUGAUCUAGAAGAUGUUGAUACAUGUCUUAAGGUAUAAUUUUCUGUCAGUUUACAUUAGAACAAGGUAGGUGCAUUAGACCAAGGUGUAAAUGAAUAUGAUCAAGUGUAUGUGUAUUCAAUAACAAGGACUAUUAGGAAAUCAUGUGUAUUGGCCAAUGAAAGAUUAAAAAAUUUUUGCAUGAUUUUUAGAUAAAAGGGACUAGUUGUUAGUGUUUGCUAUCAUAUCUUAAGCUAAUUUAUAUGUACACGGUCACACAUAAAAACACAAAUUUAUAUAUAUUGCCUCGUCUGUGGCAAGUGCUUUUUCCACACCUUGCCUUUUGAGUAAUAUAAAGGGUUCUAGUGCCUAGAAUACCUUGUGCUCUUGGCAACAUUUGGCUGGCCCUACAUUUCUUAAAUUUUUUUUCUAAUUCAAAUUCAUAUUUACUAUUUUUUGAAGAAAAAUUAAUAAUAAUUUUGUUUUGUCAUUUCUUCUAAUAUUAAUAACUAGCUACUUAUACUAUAUUAGAGAAUCAAAUAUUCACCGAGUCAAUGGAGUAUAUAAUUUAAAUAAAUUAUCCUUGAGAUAGUACCGAACCAGUUUUCCUCUUUGAAAUUGCUUUAACCAGUGAAAUGCUUCGGUAGUUUGCUACCUUUGUGGUGGAAAUUCUUGAUGUCUAUUUUGGACUUUGGAGCUAUAAUUUCAUUUUUCUUAUAUGCAAUUUUAUUUUUAUUAUUUUUCUUUUAUACAGGAUUAGAACCGGUAUACUACAGGAAGAGGAGUGCACAAAAAUCUGAAACGUACAGAGAAAGCUCGCAUUCUAGUUAGCAAAUUGCCAUGUAAGCUUCUAGUAGUAAUCUUACAUCUUGAAGUAGGUUUCUGUGACAUAUUAACUUAAUCUUCUUUGUUAAAUAGAAAACAUGCUUUAUUGCAAUGCAAUAUUUAGUUGAUUUGCUUAUAUGCUGGUUGUUUCUGAACUUGGUUUGGUUUUGUGUAACCGUGGUUUUUGAACUUGCAUUCUAUACUGUCCAAAUAUCUCGGUUCAGGUCAGUUUUCAAUUUUAUUAUUUACUCCCGAGCUUAAGCUCCAGUUUGAAUGAGAUUUUCCAGUAUAGUUAAAAGGUAAAAAGACCUCAAUCAAACUCGUGUGAUACUCUAGUCAAGCAUUAAAGUACUCGAAUUUGAUCUGCUCAAUAGCUCAAACUCGACUCAACACCAUUCAAGUUGUUGUUGUUAAUGGUUUUUAUUUUAAACUUAAGUUGUGUCUGCCAAUAUGCUCUUAAAUCAUGGUCCUUCUAUUUCUUUAGGUUGCUGAGAAGACUGCUCUUCUGCGGCCUAUAGAACUUAAACUUGUUCCUGUGGCCUUGGAAGGUAGUGCAUUUAAAAGCAAGUUUCUUGAUACGGAUGAACUUAUGAGCUACUGUAGCUGGUUUGCGGUAAGAAAUGACUCCUAUUUCUAUUUUAUGGUACCUGGAAUGGUUUAAUACUUCACCGUCUAUAAUAUUUCUAUUGCCCAUGGAUCUUAUGUUGUGGGUGUUAGUACCUUACCAAUCUCAUUAAUGUCUUGUUUUAUUCUUCCUAAAAUUCAAGGAAUCAGUUGUUUAAGUGUUUUCAUUCAGUUUACAUGUUUACCUCUGUUUCUCUGAGUUUCAUAUUUAACUAAUCCAUCUUAAUUGGUGGUAAAUUCAUGUUUUAGGCACUAAUCAAUUUUAACCAAAUUAUCUAACUGUAAUUUGUACUGCUUUCAGACUUUCAGUAGCAUGAUCCCAAAAUGGCUGCGGAAAACCAAAAUUGUCAAGAAAAUUAGCCAAAUACUGGUGAAUCACCUUGGACUAAAUUUGACCAAAGAUGAUCUACAAAAUGUGGUUGAUUUAAUGGAGCCAUAUGGUCAGAUAAGCAAUGGAAUAGAAUAUCUAAAUCCUCCCCUUGAUGUCAGUAACUAACUUGCUUGUCAUUUUAAAUAUGCAAGUCAAUUGCUAUUAAUAAUUUUCUGUUGGAUUCUUGGACUGAAAAAUAAUUGAAUUGCAAGGUCAUACAUGCUGUUAAUUUUUUAAGAGCUAAUAAAUGAGUAUGACAUAGUGCUCAUAAAUGUUCUAAGGAUGUCUUGAGAUGAAUGGAAUUGUCUGAUAGUUUGAGGUUAUAAAUCUUUGUAUUGAUUUUUCUCAACAAUCUGAAGCCUGUCAUACUUAGCAAAUAUUUCUGUGAGAAUGGGUGUUUAAGAACUGUGAAUUGUCUUGAAAUAUAUGCGGUUGAGAUGGUUGAUAUAUUAUCAAGCAUGCAAUAUAUAUCACUGUCGUGACAAGUUUUUAUAGGAUUUAUUUGAAAUGGGUACGAAUUUAUCUCCCUGUUACAUGGAAAUAUAUAUUUAGCUUUAAAGUUAAAAUUUUAAUAGAAAUUUUAAUUUAAUUAAAUAUUUUUUAUCCUUAAAAGUAUAUAGUUUAAAGUUUAAAUUUUAAAAACAAAACAUAAUAUAAUAUUUAUUAUACAAAUAAAUAUUAUUUAAAUAAAAUAUAUUUUUUUAAAUUUAUGUUUUUAGCGGCGUUUGUUAAAAAGCGCCGCUAAAAGUCAUCUUAUUGUGGUUUGUUGUAGAAACGCCUUUAGUGGCGUUUUUAGGAAAAGCGUCGCUAAAGGUCAUGGCCUAUAGCGGCGUUUGUGGGAAAAGCGCCGCUAAAGGUCAUGGUCUAUAGCGGCGUUUGUGGGAAAAGCGCCGCUAAAGGUCAUGGUCUAUAGCGGCGUUUGUGGGAAAAGCGCCGCUAAAGGUCUUGGUCUUUAGCGGCGUUUUUGGGAAAGCGCCGUUAAAGGCCAUGGUCUUUAGCGGAGUUUGUGGAAAAAGCGCCGCUAAAGGUCAUGGUCUUUAGUGGCGUUUAUUUCUAAAAACGCCGCUAAAGUUAGCGGCGCUGUCAUUAGCGGCAUUUUUUUCGGUGCUUCUCAAAGCACCGCAAAUACUCUUAGCGGCGCUAAAAAGCGCCGCUAAAAGUCUAUUUUGGUGUAGUGUGUGGAACUUUUAUAUAUAUGUAAACCAACUUAGUGGUUAUUGAAUGAGUAAACUAAUGCUCUCCCUCGCAUGCAGAGGGUGCAAAUUCAAACCCAUCGGGGUUGGGGAACACCCGCACGACGUGGGUAACGCGAAAUGUCCGGAUCGAUCGGGCCCUUUUAGGCCUGCGAAUAUUUUAGCCCAAUACGUAUUUAUUUUUUUUCUGAGCAUAUAUUAUACAGAAUAUGUUUUAAAAGAACAAAUAUCUCAUUUUGAUUUGAUUCCAAUCAAAUUUGAUUUUAUUUUAUUCAAAUUGAUUUAAAGGCUCCCUUAAUGCAGAUUUGUAUCUUUAUUCAUGAAAAUUUCUAAAAUUCCUCCACAUUGAAUGUCUAUAAAAGCCUAAAGAAUAUUGCAGAAUUCUUUAGAGACGCACAACGAAUUUAUUUCACUCUCGAAAAUUCUAUUCAUUUUCUCUCCAAAUUUUUCAAAUGUUUGGUGAUAGAAGGAAAGGUUUAUUUAUUGAUCACUGCAGAAGAACUACUCCCAUGAUCAUUUUGUUGUUGUUUCUUGGGAGACAGACGAUCAACGUUUCUCCAAGUACCAUAGGAGCUGUCGAAUCUAUCUUACGGAAACAGUGAAAACAGGCCUCAACAUCUAGUAAAACUCGAUUCCCUUAUUCGAUUUCUAAUUUUUCAAGAUCUUGUUUAUUUAAUUAUUUUUCAGAUAUGAUGUUUUAAAUAAAUAUUUUGGUUUUGUUUAGAUCCGGUGUUUUUACAUAAAUAUAAAUAUUUGUUUAUAUUAUUUGUUCAAGAUCUUGUAUUUAAUAUAAAUAUUUAUAUUUAUAUUUGUUCACUAAGGUGUUUUGUCCAAACUAUAGCUUCUCAAUAAUUGUCAAAUAUUAUAGUGAUAUGCUUUUUCUUUCAAUUAUUCAUAUCUUCAAGAUUAAAAGGUUUACUUUAGUAUUAUUCUAUUUAUUGAGUGUGUAUUAAUGUUUUGUACAGGAAUCCGUUGGAUUUUGGUCUUGUAUAAAUUAGUUGUGGUUGUGGGUAAAUAAAUGUGUGUCGUUCUUCAUUCUCCAAACAUGCUGAAUAUAAUUAUUGGCAUUUCAAGUGUGGCAUAAUAUAAAACAAUGGUUGGCUUCAUCAUAAUCUGUUUGGAGACUAACGGGCCACACUUUGACCUCCAAAUUUAGAAAAUAUUUCCAGAGUUGGAAAUUGUAAUUGUAAUACCGUAAUAUUUGUACACCGCACUACACCAAAACAGGUUUUUAGCGGCGCUUUUUUAGGCCUUUAGGGGCGCUUUUUAGUGCCGCUAAAAGUAUUUGCGGCGCUUUGAGAAGCGCCAGAAAAAACGUCGCUAGUGACAGAGUCGCUAACUUUAGCGGCGUUUUUAGAAAUAAACGCCGCUAAAGACCAUGAUCUUUAGCGGCGCUUUUUCCACAAACGCCGCUAAAGACCAUGACCUUUAGCGGCGCUUUCCCAAAAAUGCCGCUAAAAACCAGAACCUUUAGCGGCACUUUUUCCACAAACGCCGCUAAAGACCAAAACCUUAGCGGCGCUUUUCUCACAAACGCCGCUAUAGAUCAUGACCUUUAGCGGCGCUUUUCCCAUAAACGCCGCUAUAAGCCAUGACCUUUAGCGACUCUUUUCCCAAAAACUCCACUAAAGGCGUUUCUACAAUAAACCACAAUAAAGAUGACUUUUAGCGGCGCUUUUUAACAAACGCCACUAAAAACAUAAAUUUUAUAAAAUAUAUUUUAAUUAAAUAAUAUUUAUUUGUAUAAUAAAUAUUAUAUUAUGUUUUGUUUUUAAAAUUUAAACUUUAAACUAUAUACUUUUAAGGAUAAAAAAUAUUUAAUUAAAUUAAAAUUUCUAUUAAAAUUUUAACUUUAACGCUAAAUAUAUAUUUCCAUGUAACAGGGAUAUAAAUUCGUACCCAUUUCAAAUAAAUCCUAUAAAAACUUGUCACGACAGUGAUAUAUAUUGCAUGCUUGAUAAAAUAUCAACCAUCUCAACCGCAUAUAUUUCAAGACAAUUCACAGUUCUUAAACACCCAUUCUCACAGAAAUAUUUGCUAAGUAUGACAGGCUUCAGAUUGUUGAGAAAAAUCAAUACAAAGAUUUAUAACCUCAAACUAUCAGACAAUUCCAUUCAUCUAAAGACAUCUUUAGAACAUUUAUGAGCACUAUGUCAUACUCAUUUAUUAGCUCUUAAAAAAUUAACAGCGUGUAUGACCUUGCAAUUCAAUUAUUUUUCAGUCCAAGAAUCCAACAGAAAAUUAUUAAUAGCAAUUGACUUGCAUAUUUAAAAUGACAAGCAAGUUAGUUACUGACAUCAAGAGGAGGAUUUAGAUAUUCUAUUCCAUUGCUCUUAUCUGACCAUAUGGCUCCAAUAAAUCGACCACAUUUUGUAGAUCAUCUUUGGUCAAAUUUAGUCCAAGGUGAUUCACCAGUAUUUGGCUAAUUUUCUUGACAAUUUUGGUUUUCCGCAGCCAUUUUGGGAUCAUGCUGCUGAAAGUCUGCAAGCAGUACAAAUUACAGUUAGAUAAUUUGGUUAAAAUUGAUUAGUGCCUAAAACAUGAAUUUACCACCAAUUAAGAUGGAUUAGUUAAAUAUGAAACUCAGAGAAACAGAGGUAAACAUGUAAACUGAAUGAAAAACACUUAAACAACUGAUUCUUUGAAUUUCAGGAAGAAUAAAACAAGACAUUAAUGAGAUUGGUAAGGUACUAACACCCACAACAUAAGAUCCAUGGGCAAUAGAAAUAUUAUAGACGGUGAAGUAUUAAACCAUUCCAGGUACCAUAAAAUAGAAAUAGGAGUCAUUUCUUACCGCAAACCAGCUACAGUAACUCAUAAGUUCAUCCGUAUCAAGAAACUUGCUUCUAAAUGCACUACCUUCCAAGGCCACAAGAACAAGUUUAAGUUCUAUACGCCGCAGAAGAGCAGUCUUUUCAGCAACCUAAAGAAAUAGAAGGACCAUGAUUUAAGAGCAUAUUGGCAGACACAACUUAAGUUUAAAAUAAAAACCAUUAACAACAACAUAAAUUUCGCAAGCAAAUACAUGCAGACAGGAACAAUAAAACCAAAUAUAUGUAGGCAGUAAAAGCCAAAAUACACAGCGGCAGUCAACAAUUGUCUGCAUCAUAUGCCCCCAGGUCUCCAGUUUCUUAUCCAGAUAUGCAAUCAAUAGAGUUGAUAAGUAUCACCAUUAUUUCAUACUUGGCAAUAAUUCAGUUAUUAUUUGUGGAUCCUUUUCAGAAAUUCUCAAAUUAGACUUGUAUGGUGUUGAGUCGAGUUUGAGCUAUUGAGCAGAUCAAAUUCGAGUACUUUAAUGCUUGAUUAGAGUAUCACACGAGUUUGAUUGAGGUCUUUUGACCUUUUAACUAUACUGGAAAAUCUCAUUUCAAACUGGAGCUUAAGCUCGGGAAUAAAUAAUAAAAUUGAAAACCGACCUGAAACGAGAUAUUUGGACAAUAUAGAAUGCAAGUUCAAAAACCACGGUUACACAAAACCAAACCAAGUUCAGAAACAACCAGCAUAUAAGCAAAUCAACUAAAUCUUGCAUUGCAAUAAAGCAUGUUUUCUAUUUAACAAAGAAGAUUAAGUUACUAUGUCACAGAAACCUACUUCAAGAUGUAAGAUUACUAAUAGAAGCUUACAUGGCAAUUUCCUAACUAGAAUGCGAGCUUUCUCUAUACGUUUCAGAUUUUUGUGCACUCCUCUUCCUGCACUAUACCGGUUCUAAUCCUUUAUAAAAGAAAAAUAAGAAAAAUAAAAUUGCAUAUAAGAAAAAUGAAAUUAUAGCUCCAAAGUCCAAAAUAGACAUCAAUAAUUACCACCACAAAGAUAGCAAACUACCGAAGCAUUUCACUGGUUAAAGCAAUUUCAAAGAGGAAAACUGGUUCGGUACUAUCUCAAGGAUAAUUUAUUUAAAUUAUAUACUCCAUUGACUUGGUGAAUAUUUGAUUCUCUAAUAUAGUAUAAGUAGCUAGUUAUUAAUAUUAGAAGAAAUGACAAAACAAAAUUAUUAUUAAUUUUUCUUCAAAAAAUAGUAAAUAUGAAUUUGAAUUAGAAAAAAAUUUAAGAAAUAUAGGGCCAGCCAAAUGUUGCUAAGAGCACAAGGUAUUCUAGGCACUAGAACCCUUUAUAUUACUCAAAAGGCAAGGUGUGGAAAAAGCACUUGCCACAGACGAGGCAAUAUAUAUAAAUUUGUGUUUUUAUGUGUGACCGUGUACAUAUAAAUUAGAUUAAGAUAUGAUAGCAAACAUUAACAACUGGUCCCUUUUAUCUAAAAAUCAUGCAAAAAAUUUUUAAUCUUUCAUUGGCCAAUACACAUGAUUUCCUAAUAGUCCUUGUUAUUGAAUACACAUACACUUGAUCAUAUUCAUUUACACCUUGGUCUAAUGCACCUACCUUGGUCUAAUGUAAACUGAAAGAAAAUUAUACCUUAAGACAUGUAUCAACAUCUUUUAGAUCACUCAAGUUCUCAGAUUCAAUGUAUUCCGUGACAAAACCAAAUUAUAGUCCUCACUAGAAAUAUGCAAAUUUGGGCUAGCUGCCCCAUGAUGCACGUACUGCUUUUGAACACAAAGAGAGCUGCUUCACCAAAAACUGCAGUUGCUUCUUCAGCAGCACCUAAAAUAAUCGAACACAAAAGAACAUAACUUAAAUAUCAAUGAACAUAUGAGACCAAGUACUAAAUGAUACUAGAACAAGAUCACAUGGAGAGAUAAAGAGAAAUAUUGAGUGAAUAAAAAAUCAAGCCAAUCUAAAACAAUCUGCAGAGCCCUUUAAGUGACAAACCUAAUAUGCUCAACUUAUUUUAUUUCUGACCUUUAGAAGACCCACAUCAAGUUGAACAAAACUUGUCAUAUGGAAAUACAUUAGUAAUGUUCACACUAAAUAAUAAUACAAAAAUCCUGGAGAGUUCAAUUUCUAUUAAAAGGGACUAAAACAGUUAGUGUUCUGUUCUACUUUGCAAGUCUAAGAUAAUGGAGAGUUAAACAUACUCAGUGCUCCUUGAAUUCCUAGGAACUAUAAUUAUUGGAGUGUCAAAUGUAAGAUCCAGCUUCAAAGCAGCAGCCCCAUCAAUUUCAGAUUUCUGAAUUAACCACUCAAAAUCGCCAACUUUAUCAACAAGUUUUAUUACUUCUUCUGUAUGUGGGGUAGCAAGCUCCAUGAAGUAAACUGUUAUCUGCCAAACCAAGUUUCUUGAAAUUUAUAGACCUAAAUUUUGACUAUUUGUGAAAGUGAACUUCAAUUGUUAAAUGUUAAGGUUUAACCAUAAUAGGAUGAUGGUAAUGCUAAAACUGCACAGUUUAAACUGUAUCCCAUCAUACCUCCUGGACAAACCUACAAAGAAAAACAAUUCGAACAGCAGAAAGUCGCCCACACAAGCGGUAGUUGUACCCUUCAUAAUCAUCAUCUCCAGCACUGAAAGAAUUAAAUUUAAACUGGAAGAAGGAAAAUGUGAAGUAAGCAAGCAUGCAUGAAUACAAUAAAAAGUAACCUAAAUGACUCAAAUGCUAAUAAACAUAUAUCAAUGAGGAAAAAAAUGUACCUUUAUAAGGGAUUCAACCCUUGGAUUUCAACUCUAGGAUUCAACUCCCGGAUUUCGUCUAUCACUUAUCCUUUAAGAAAAAACUGUUAUAAAACAAUCAAAAGAACAAAAACCCAGAGAGCUAAAAGGAAAAUUAUAUUUAUUUAUACCGAUUUAAUCUUAUAGACUACAAUAUUUUGAUUUGCAUACAGAUAAGCAUCCAUAGUGCAGUUCAGAUUCAACUAAAUUGAACAAAGUUUAAGAAAUUUCAGACCCUAAAAAGUGAAAGUAAGAAGGAAAAAAUAUAGAUGAGUACUUGAAACGAUUCUUCUUUGUUUUUUUAGUCGACAUCAGAGUCAUCAAAAUCGUCUUUGAAGUUGUUGAAGAAAUCGGCAUCGGCGAGCUUGUUGUCGGAAGUGAUGACUCCUUCGUCGAAGAUCUCCGGUGUGUCAACAUCAUCGGCUUCCAUGGCUGAAUCUUUCGGGAAAUCUUUUGGGAAAAUUUGGAUUUUCCUGAAAAAUACACCGACCGGAUAAACGAGAGAAAAACAAAGAUGGUGGUUGAGAAGAAGAGGAGCUUAACGAUGAUGAUGAAGACGUGGUGGCGGAGAGAAACACCUAAAGGGUGUUUUUAGGAUACCAAUUUUAGGGGGGGAAAUUAGGGGUUUUAGGGGGGAAAUUAGGGAAAAAAAGGCGCAAUUUUGAAUAAAAUGAUACCGUUUUGUUCUGCUAAAAAUUUCUACUAUUUUUGUAUUUAUCAAUUUUUUAAAAUCUAAUAUUUAAAUAUAUUAAAUAUUUUAGAUUAAAUAUUUUUAAAUAUAAAAGCAUUAAUUAAUUAUAUAAAAUUUCAUCAUUUAACAAAUAUCAAGUAAACCUUAAAUCCUAAACCAUUUAAUAUAUAUAAAGUUUACUUAUUACCUCUUAAAUAAUUUAAACUAUAAUCAUAAUUUUAAUAUAUUAAAAUUAAAAUGAUCUCUUUUACAAUUAUAUAAGAAAUUAUUUAAUAUAUAAAUUAAAAACACUAAUUAAUCUAAACCCUAAACUCUUAACCUUUAUCCCCUAAACCUUAAAUUAUAAAACAUAAACCCUUAAACCCCUAACCCCUAAAUCCUAAACCCCUAAACCUUAAACCUCAACCCUUAAACCAUAAAUCAUAAACAAUAAUCCCUAAACCCAUAAUCCCUAAACUAUAAUGAUAAUUAAUUCAACAUUUUAAAAUUAAUACUAACUCUUUUACUAUUAUAUAAGAAAUUAUUUAAUAUAUAAAUAUCAAACACGUCAUAGACACUUAAAACUUUGAGAUAGUUAUAGUACUAUUUUUUAUUUCACUUAUAGGAACCUCAUAUACUCAAGCACUGCAAGUCUUUUGUGAAUUAACCAAUGCUUAUGAAGAUCUACUACUUACGGUUAUCAAUGCCAGCUGGAAUCACAAAUAUUAACAAGAAUCAGACAUAGAUAGCAAAAUUAAUCAAGCACUUUCAAGGGACAUCAUUCUAGCAGUUCUUUAAAGAAAUGGAUUUCAAUCCAGAAUUCAGUAGUUCUGUAACUAGCCUAGCAGAUAGAUGGAAAAAUAAUAUUUAUUUUAGAGAUCAGUCUACCUCUUAAGUGGAAUAACUUUCUGUAAGCUUUAACCUUGUGAACUUUUUUAUUAAUAUAUUUCUUCUAAUACUUCUUAGAGAUAAUCACAGACAAGAGAUUCAACCAUUAAGAUUCAAUGGAUGGUUAAUAUAAGACCAAACAAAGACAAUGCAUCUAAUUUAAUAAGUUAAGCCAUGCUCACGAACAAAGCAAAGAAGAAUUAUAUUCACCUCAAAAACUUCCAUGUGGAAGUAUGAAUUAAUUUCAUUUAUCGCUGCUUUUGCAGGUGCUGUAAAAGCUCUUUGAACGACCAAAAUAGCAUUAUAAACAUUAUCUGCUUGCAUACACUUUGCACAGUUUCUUACCAUAGGAACACCAACCUUUACUUCCGCAGGAAAGAAAACAUAAAUCUAGAGACAAAAAUACCAUCAGUACAUCAACAUUGAAGUUAUAAAAUUAUUUGUAACAAAAAAGUAAAGAAAAAGGAGUUGCUCUUAUUUCUAAUAUUAGAGUUAAAAACAAUGACCCGUUCUAGCUAUGCAAUCUUUUACAACAAGAAAGUGCAAACUCAUGCAGACAGUUUAAAGAACUCUAAACAUUUCAAAAAUUUCAAAUAUGGGCUUCUGAUUUAUAAACUGAUGAUUCUGAAAUAACUACACAGCUUGCUAAUUUGAUAUGCUUAUUACCUUGUAUAAGAAAUUAUUUAAUAUGUAAGUUAAAAAAAACUCAGUAAUGUACCCAAAAAACUUAAAAUUAUUUUAAAUAAUAUUAUUUUAAUUUUUCUAUUUUUAACAAAUAUUUUUCUAUGUUUUUAUUUCAAAUUAUUUCUACGUGUCAUUAGUUUUUUGUGAAGAUUUUGAAUAUUCAAUUAAAAAUAAUUUGAAUUUUAAUUAAUAUAAACAAACCAAUUAAAUAAUAAAUAGAGAGAUAAAAUAUUUUAAAGACCAAAGCAUUAGCGGCGCUUCUUCAAAAACGCCACUAAAGACCAGAGCAUUAGCGGCGCUUUUCCAAAAACGCCGCUAAAGCCCAGAGCAAGCCUAGAGCAUUAGCGGCGCUUCUUCAAAAACGCCGCUAAAGCCCAAAGCAUUAGCGGCGCUUUUCCAAAAACGCCGCUAAAUCCCAGAGCAAGCCUAGAGCAUUAGCGGCGCUUCUUCAAAAACGCCGCUAAAGCCCAGAUCAUUAGCGGCGCUUCUUAAAAAACGCCGCUAAAGGUCCAAAAACUCAAAAAACGACAUUUUUAGCGGCGCUUAUUGGAAAACGCCGCUAAUGCUCAUUUUUAGCGGCGUUUUCCAAAAAACGCCGCUAAUGUUGGAUCUUUAGCGGCGUUUUAGAAAAAACGCUGCUAUUGCUUGAUUUUUAGCAGCGUUUUUUAUCCGAACGCCACUAAAAACGCCGCUAAAAGCCUAUUUUGGUAUAGUGCCGCAGUGAACAUGGACAAUCAUGUCAUGAUGCAGAACCAGAAAAUGGUGCCAACUCUCCUUCUUCUCCCCCUCUUUCUUCCAAAACUAUAUCCUCGAAUCCUCAAAAAUGGUGACAUCAAACUUCCUUUUGUUUAUAAAAGGUUCACCCCUCACAUUACAGGGUCCUGUUCGUAUCUCAAGGCAAUCAAACAUGGAAUCCAUAUAUAUGAUUCUUCCCCAAUCCUUGUUGUAGAUUCUUUGGGGAUACAAGCCUUUUUGUUUGUAUUUAAAUACAAAAAAGGGAAAAUGAAAAGCGCCAUCUACAACUGCAUGCUAAUGAUUGCCAAAAUCACUGUUUGUUUUGUCGGAAGGCUUUCAAUCUUGCGGGGUCUUGAAGAGCCUGUUUCAGUAACUUGCCAUUAAUUCUCUCAUACAUUCCAAUCCUAAAAAAUGCUUCCAUCUUUUAGCUGCAACAGUUUAUAAUCAUCAGAAAGGUCUAGUCAGAAUAAUAUUACCUUCUCCUUUUUAACAGUUUUUUUUUUUUAAAUCAUGCCACUACAACUGUAGCUGCGCUCAUGUCAACAAUUAAUUCCUAUAAUCGACAUCAAAAUUAUAUGAAAGAAUUAACAUUUGGAUACCGAGUUACCAUAUUUGAAGAUAAGGCGAAAGGUAAAAACACAAAAGGCAAGCAUGACCAAGCAAACAAGGUAUGGACAUUGAUUUUUUUGAAUCGGGAAUGGCCAAAUGGGACCGUGAAGAGGUGACAAAGGAGAAAUCAGGCAUUCACGGUUUCCAUUGGAUGAAAUGAGAUAAGAUCACUGUGCUUCUUCCACGUGGCAGGUUGCCAAAGAUAAGGCUUUACCAUUCAAGAAAAGUUUCCACCCUCUUUGUGGUCAUUAUGGUUGUAAUGUCAUCUGAUUUAGGAUCCAACGGUCACCCUUUCUCCUAAACCAAUCUCUAAAUGUGGUGAGCUUAGGCCAAAUUUAAUGACUAUAUAUAGGGGAUUGCACCAAGGCAGUCACACUAUUAAGGGAUCAGUGAGACUCUUUUGUAUACCUGUAGCAUAUAGUAAUAGUAAGCAGUAAUAGCAAUGGCCUCCUCCAUGAUCUCAUCGGCAACCAUUGCCACCGUGAACCGCUCCUCCCCGGCACAGGCCAACAUGGUGGCCCCCUUCACGGGCCUCAAAUCUGCCUCUGCUUUCCCAGUCACCAGGAAGGCCAACAACGACAUCACUUCUCUUGCAAGCAACGGUGGGAGAGUGCAAUGCAUGCAGGUACUUGGUGAUGCAUAAAUACCACUUAAAUUACCCCAAGUGUUUGAACACAACAAAUUACAUAAAUUGAAUCAAAUAUAUAUCUUGGCUUUUGAGUACAGGUGUGGCCGCCUCUUGGGAAGAAGAAGUUCGAGACUCUCUCAUACCUGCCCGAUCUUACUCCCGUACAGUUGGCUAAGGAAGUAGAUUACCUUCUUCGCUCUAAAUGGAUUCCUUGCUUGGAAUUCGAAUUAGAGGUGUUUUGGAGCUCUAAAUUAUUCCAUUCCUCCUCUUAAUUUUUUUAGUGGGAUAUUUGAGUUGAUUAAGUGUGUUUUAUAUGUAUGUGCAGGAGGGAUUCGUGCAUCGUAAGUACUCGAACUUACCCACGUACUACGAUGGACGCUACUGGACCAUGUGGAAGCUGCCCAUGUUCGGGUGCACCGACUCGGCUCAGGUGUUGAAGGAGCUUGAGGAAUGCAAGAAGGAAUACCCCAAUGCAUUCAUUAGAAUCAUUGGGUUCGACAACGUUCGUCAAGUGCAGUGCAUUAGUUUCAUUGCCUACAAGCCUGAAGGCUACUAAGUUGUUUACUUCCCUCCUAGGAAUUCCAUUUGUUUCAAAGUUGUACUUAAAUUAAGCCCCUCAAACCCCCCCCCCCUUUUUCUUUUUCUUUUUUAGUUGAGUUAUUUGGCUUGGGGUCUUUCUCUUUGUUUUGUUUUUGGAUUUCCAAUGGAACGGCUGAGAACUAAUGAAUAAAAAGGUAGUUU
RNAcentral lists this long non-coding RNA (24393 nucleotides) under Gossypium raimondii (Peruvian cotton). RNAcentral describes it as "long non-coding RNA (GRAI_LNC000610)". The stretch from base 1145 to 1251 matches the Rfam family "Plant small nucleolar RNA R71". Lineage: Eukaryota; Viridiplantae; Streptophyta; Magnoliopsida; Malvales; Malvaceae. The record is from RNAcentral.